This is a non-coding RNA of Triticum aestivum (bread wheat), 125 nucleotides long. The record is from Rfam. NCBI's taxonomy places the organism in Eukaryota, Viridiplantae, Streptophyta, Magnoliopsida, Poales, Poaceae.
UUUGUACUCCCUCUAUCCGGAAUUACUUGUAGUAGAAAUGGAUAUAUCUAGAUGUAUUUUUAGUUCUAGAUACGUCCAUUUCUAUCCAUUUGUGCGACAAGUAUUUCGGGACUGAGGAGUAUCAU